Molecule: non-coding RNA, 227 nt
Organism: Microcebus murinus (gray mouse lemur)
Lineage: Eukaryota; Metazoa; Chordata; Mammalia; Primates; Cheirogaleidae
Source: RefSeq, a predicted model, not a curated record
GCAGAAACAUACUUUAUCAAAAGCAGAACCAGAGCAAAUGUGGGAUGCGCUUUUUAAAACGGUUGCUGGUGACUGAACUGCAGAAAGCAAAAUCACAGACGAGGGGGACUACUAUAAAUUCAUACUGGUUGAAUAAAUAUUGGAGGCAUGUUGCAUGGAUGUGACUCUUGACUGCUCUGAGGUUACUUUCUUAAAGCUUUUAAUUCAAAGUUAAAGAAGAAUUUUUU